UCAACAGAUUUGACCGUAUCGCUUGCAAAAUCUAAGGCCCUGCAGUGUCUACAGCCAGAAGUUGAAGAUCUUAGCUUAAAAAAAAACUUAGGAAGACGAUUAAGAACACUGGUUCUGUUCUAGGGACUGCUCUGCAGCCUUUAGAGCGGUUUCUACAAAGAAAGAUGCUUUAUAAUUGGCGUCUGGCAAUGAGCUUUGUCAGUACUGGAGAGUGAGUUCUGUCUCUUCUGGAAACACUAAAGAGCUCCUGGUACUUUCUGCUUCUAGCUGUAACCUCUGUGUUCUCCAAUGUAAAGUCUAACUUGAGUUUGGUCUCUCAGUAAAGCUUUAUUCAACAGUUUGGCAAUUCUGUUCAAUCGUGACAGGAACUGUUGACAUUGUGCAUCUGCUGAUGGUGGAAACUGAAAUGUAGAGGAAUUCCGCGAGGUGUUUCUCUGCAAUUUCAAUGGUGCCAUGAACUUUGAGUGUUAAAGAAAAGGAGACCCCCCACUCCGCAAUCAAUAUGCUGCUACCGUUGGCUGUUUUAGUGCUAGCGGUACUGGUGCACUGAAACUUGGGUGUGCUUCUGGAAGGGCUUUCCCAAAACUCUGACCUUAACUCUGCUGGAAAUGUAUUGUUAAAAAGAACUAUAAAAACCAAACAGUGAAAGCCCUUAAAUAGCAUGACAUUUCCUGCAGACAAUGAGUGGAUGGAAACUUCUCGAACUGGGUGUUCAUUGGCCAAUCUAAAUGCAGAGUGAAGAGAUCUGGAGUCAGAGAAACACCUGGAAGACGUUCAGCUGAAAUGAGGACAGCUGCUCUAAUCGGUUCCCCAGGAAGCUCGUUAUCAUUCUCCAAUAGGGUGGAGCUACAGAACAGAGCGACUCCCACAGGAAGUGAAGCACCGCUCAGAGUAAACAGCCACAGCGACUCCAGCACCAAAGCCUGAACCGUCUUCGGCAUCGUAUCAACGCCUCGCCUCUCCUUCUCUCUUUCAACAAACAACGAAGACUCCCAGACCUUCUGAUGGAGUAUAAGAGAAUUAUUAACACUGGAUGGAGCGCCGGGAGAUGGAGGCCGCCGACGACGACGAGGACAUAGUCGGCGAGUUGGAGGAGUGGUUGGACGCAUGCGAGGACGACAGGGUGGAGCAGGAAGAGGAGGUUUGGGUGCCGUCCAGAGGCCUGGACAGCAGCAGGGAGGACGGCAUGCACAGCCAUGUCUCCAGGUCCGAGUACUUGGAAUAACUCAGCAUCUCCAGGACGCUGCAGGAGGACACAGGCAGACCAUCACAGGGUCUUGUUUUAACGCCCCACUUCCACCCCGUUCACAGCUCUUACCUCUCCUCUCCCACUCCUGGGAUUUCAUCCGUCUCGUCCGCAGUCUGGAAGAUGCAGGAGGUCCUGGAUUCUCGGGACGACAGCAGAACACAGGAGUUCUCAGAAUCCACAGACAUCUUCAGCCAUUUCUGUGGGGG
This is a long non-coding RNA of Gambusia affinis (western mosquitofish), 1455 nucleotides long. RefSeq lists it as uncharacterized. NCBI's taxonomy places the organism in Eukaryota, Metazoa, Chordata, Actinopteri, Cyprinodontiformes, Poeciliidae. The record is from RefSeq and is a predicted model, not a curated record. The transcript has 2 exons.